This 1180-nucleotide ribosomal RNA is filed under the name Klebsiella pneumoniae. Its description in RNAcentral is "bacterial SSU rRNA". It matches the Rfam family "Bacterial small subunit ribosomal RNA", at positions 8 to 1180 of the family's 1533-position model. The record is from RNAcentral. Lineage: Bacteria; Pseudomonadati; Pseudomonadota; Gammaproteobacteria; Enterobacterales; Enterobacteriaceae.
AGAGUUUGAUCAUGGCUCAGAUUGAACGCUGGCGGCAGGCCUAACACAUGCAAGUCGAGCGGUAGCACAGAGAGCUUGCUCUCGGGUGACGAGCGGCGGACGGGUGAGUAAUGUCUGGGAAACUGCCUGAUGGAGGGGGAUAACUACUGGAAACGGUAGCUAAUACCGCAUAAUGUCGCAAGACCAAAGUGGGGGACCUUCGGGCCUCAUGCCAUCAGAUGUGCCCAGAUGGGAUUAGCUAGUAGGUGGGGUAACGGCUCACCUAGGCGACGAUCCCUAGCUGGUCUGAGAGGAUGACCAGCCACACUGGAACUGAGACACGGUCCAGACUCCUACGGGAGGCAGCAGUGGGGAAUAUUGCACAAUGGGCGCAAGCCUGAUGCAGCCAUGCCGCGUGUGUGAAGAAGGCCUUCGGGUUGUAAAGCACUUUCAGCGGGGAGGAAGGCGUUAAGGUUAAUAACCUUGGCGAUUGACGUUACCCGCAGAAGAAGCACCGGCUAACUCCGUGCCAGCAGCCGCGGUAAUACGGAGGGUGCAAGCGUUAAUCGGAAUUACUGGGCGUAAAGCGCACGCAGGCGGUCUGUCAAGUCGGAUGUGAAAUCCCCGGGCUCAACCUGGGAACUGCAUUCGAAACUGGCAGGCUAGAGUCUUGUAGAGGGGGGUAGAAUUCCAGGUGUAGCGGUGAAAUGCGUAGAGAUCUGGAGGAAUACCGGUGGCGAAGGCGGCCCCCUGGACAAAGACUGACGCUCAGGUGCGAAAGCGUGGGGAGCAAACAGGAUUAGAUACCCUGGUAGUCCACGCCGUAAACGAUGUCGAUUUGGAGGUUGUGCCCUUGAGGCGUGGCUUCCGGAGCUAACGCGUUAAAUCGACCGCCUGGGGAGUACGGCCGCAAGGUUAAAACUCAAAUGAAUUGACGGGGGCCCGCACAAGCGGUGGAGCAUGUGGUUUAAUUCGAUGCAACGCGAAGAACCUUACCUGGUCUUGACAUCCACAGAACUUUCCAGAGAUGGAUUGGUGCCUUCGGGAACUGUGAGACAGGUGCUGCAUGGCUGUCGUCAGCUCGUGUUGUGAAAUGUUGGGUUAAGUCCCGCAACGAGCGCAACCCUUAUCCUUUGUUGCCAGCGGUUCGGCCGGGAACUCAAAGGAGACUGCCAGUGAUAAACUGGAGGAAGGUGGGGAU